AUGAACGCUGGCGGCGUGCCUAAUACAUGCAAGUCGAGCGAACAGACGAGGAGCUUGCUCCUCUGACGUUAGCGGCGGACGGGUGAGUAACACGUGGAUAACCUACCUAUAAGACUGGGAUAACUUCGGGAAACCGGAGCUAAUACCGGAUAAUAUAUUGAACCGCAUGGUUCAAUAGUGAAAGACGGUUUUGCUGUCACUUAUAGAUGGAUCCGCGCCGCAUUAGCUAGUUGGUAAGGUAACGGCUUACCGAGGCAACGAUGCGUAGCCGACCUGAGAGGGUGAUCGGCCACACUGGAACUGAGACACGGUCCAGACUCCUACGGGAGGCAGCAGUAGGGAAUCUUCCGCAAUGGGCGAAAGCUUGACGGAGCAACGCCGCGUGAGUGAUGAAGGUCUUCGGAUCGUAAAACUCUGUUAUUAGGGAAGAACAAAUGUGUAAGUAACUAUGCACGUCUUGACGGUACCUAAUCAGAAAGCCACGGCUAACUACGUG
Molecule: ribosomal RNA, 496 nt
Filed under: uncultured bacterium
Lineage: Bacteria
Description: partial 16S ribosomal RNA
Rfam family: Bacterial small subunit ribosomal RNA
Source: RNAcentral